This 531-nucleotide ribosomal RNA is filed under the name uncultured bacterium. RNAcentral describes it as "bacterial SSU rRNA". It matches the Rfam family "Bacterial small subunit ribosomal RNA", at positions 356 to 896 of the family's 1533-position model. The record is from RNAcentral.
GGGGAAUAUUGCACAAUGGGCGCAAGCCUGAUGCAGCGACGCCGCGUGAGGGAUGACGGCCUUCGGGUUGUAAACCUCUGUUAGCAGGGAAGAAGAGAAAUUGACGGUACCUGCAGAGAAAGCGCCGGCUAACUACGUGCCAGCAGCCGCGGUAAUACGUAGGGCGCGAGCGUUGUCCGGAAUUAUUGGGCGUAAAGAGCUUGUAGGCGGUUUGUCGCGUCUGCUGUGAAAGGCCGGGGCUUAACCCCGUGUAUUGCAGUGGGUACGGGCAGACUAGAGUGCAGUAGGGGAGACUGGAAUUCCUGGUGUAGCGGUGGAAUGCGCAGAUAUCAGGAGGAACACCGAUGGCGAAGGCAGGUCUCUGGGCUGUAACUGACGCUGAGAAGCGAAAGCAUGGGGAGCGAACAGGAUUAGAUACCCUGGUAGUCCAUGCCGUAAACGUUGGGCACUAGGUGUGGGGAACAUUCCACGUUUUCCGCGCCGUAGCUAACGCAUUAAGUGCCCCGCCUGGGGAGUACGGCCGCAAGGCUA